RNAcentral lists this small RNA (115 nucleotides) under Marmota monax (woodchuck). Lineage: Eukaryota; Metazoa; Chordata; Mammalia; Rodentia; Sciuridae. The record is from RNAcentral.
GUUGGGUGUGGUGGUUCAUACCUGUGGUCCCAGUUACUCAGGAGGUGGAGGUGGAAGGAUCACUUGAUUUCAGGAGUUCAAGACCAGCCUGGACAACAUAGUGAGAUUGUCUCAA